GAUGAACGCUAGCGGCAGGCCUAACACAUGCAAGUCGAGGGGCAGCACAUAAAGUGGUUUACUACUUUUGGUGGCGACCGGCGGACGGGUGCGUAACGCGUAUGCAACCUGCCUCCAACAGGGGGAUAACGGAGAGAAAUUUCCACUAAUACCCCAUAAUAUCAGAAUCGGCAUCGGUUUUGGUUGAAAACUCCGGUGGUUGGAGAUGGGCAUGCGUUGUAUUAGAUAGUUGGUGAGGUAACGGCUCACCAAGUCAACGAUACAUAGGGGGACUGGGAGGUUAGCCCACCAGACGGGUACUGAGGCACGGACCAGAACACGACGGGAGGCAGCAGUGAGGAAUAUUGGGCAAUGGGGGCAACCCUGAACCAGCCAUGCCGCGUGCAGGAAGACGGCUCUAUGAGUUGUAAACUGCUUUUACAAGGGGAUAAAUCGGUGUACGUGUACACCGUUGAAGGUACCUUGGGAAUAAGGAUCGGCUAACUCCGUGCCAGCCGCCGCCGUAA
This 506-nucleotide ribosomal RNA is filed under the name uncultured bacterium. Its description in RNAcentral is "partial 16S ribosomal RNA". It matches the Rfam family "Bacterial small subunit ribosomal RNA", at positions 28 to 523 of the family's 1533-position model. The record is from RNAcentral.